RNAcentral lists this ribosomal RNA (364 nucleotides) under uncultured bacterium. Its description in RNAcentral is "bacterial SSU rRNA". It matches the Rfam family "Bacterial small subunit ribosomal RNA", at positions 28 to 393 of the family's 1533-position model. The record is from RNAcentral.
GACGAACGCUGGCGGCGUGCUUAACACAUGCAAGUCGAGCGGUAAGGCCCUUUCGGGGGGUACACGAGCGGCGAACGGGUGAGUAACACGUGGGUGACCUGCCCUUAGCUCUGGGAUAAGCCUGGGAAACUGGGUCUAAUACCGGAUAUGACUCCAUGACGCAUGUUGUGGGGUGGAAAGCCUUGUGCGGCUAGGGAUGGGCCCGCGGCCUAUCAGCUUGUUGGUGGGGUGAUGGCCACCAAGGCGACGACGGGUAGCCGGCCUGAGAGGGCGACCGGCCACACUGGGACUGAGACACGGCCCAGACUCCUACGGGAGGCAGCAGUGGGGAAUCUUGCGCAAUGGGCGAAAGCCUGACGCAGCG